GGCGGACGGGUGAGUAACGCGUAAGAACUUGCCCUUUAGACUGGGAUAACAGAGGGAAACUUCUGAUAAUACUGGAUAAGUUAGUAUAUCGCAUGAUAUGCAAAUGAAAGCUACGGCACUAAAGGAGAGCUUUGCGUCCUAUUAGCUAGUUGGUAAGGUAAGAGCUUACCAAGGCGAUGAUAGGUAGCCGGCCUGAGAGGGCGGACGGCCACAAGGGGACUGAGAUACGGCCCUUACUCCUACGGGAGGCAGCAGGC
This 257-nucleotide ribosomal RNA is filed under the name uncultured Leptotrichia sp. Its description in RNAcentral is "partial 16S ribosomal RNA". It matches the Rfam family "Bacterial small subunit ribosomal RNA", at positions 97 to 354 of the family's 1533-position model. Lineage: Bacteria; Fusobacteriati; Fusobacteriota; Fusobacteriia; Fusobacteriales; Leptotrichiaceae. The record is from RNAcentral.